CUUAGGUGACGACUAAGCACACGUUUGAUACGUACGUCUCACUCACGCUCGUGCAAAAGACCAUGGAAACUAAUCAACAACCACUAAAUGUCAUGCAAAAACAGAUAAGGCCAAAGAAUUAUCAAUUCACAACUAAUGUCAAUUUUUUCAGUUGACAAUCGCGACGUGAAUUUUUGUGUAGUUUUCUUUUAUUCUCUGUUAAAAAAUUGUGUUUAUAACAAAAGAUCGUGUUUAAAUUCGUGAAAAACUGUUUCGGACGAGAAUUCGGUGACAAAUCAAUGUGUUUAUAUGUGAAAAUUGCGAAAAACUACACACGUGGGCGUUAAAAACAAGAAAAUCAAGAAAAUGCUUUUUGGAGUGAGGCGGCUUUAGCAAUUGGUAAUCACCACAUACAUAUGUCUAUACGCAUACGGUGGUGUAUGUGUGUGCUUGCAGUCAUAAGUCGCUUUUGACAGCUAACAAAAAUCGAUUUGUUUACAUCUAAAAUAGACAAAAAUUGCUCUGAAUUUCUCAUAAAAAGUGUUUGCCAGUGAAUAAAUGUUCCUUGCUAAAUCUGAAAAAUUAUUAUUUAUAUAAAGAAAGUGUAAAAAUCUGGUUCUAUAACGCAGUUAACCGGCUAGGUGUUUGUUUUUGUAAAGUGUUUGUUAACUCUAGCCGGCACUCCGCAGCCACACUAUACUGCGCCAACUGCGACUGCGACGACGACGACCAAGUCGACGUCUGUCUCUUGUUUGUUUGUGUACUUGGCGUUUAUUUACCUAUUUAUUGCUAUAGCCAAUUUUCUGCAAAUAAAUUUCACAUUUUGCGAAUGCACUUUAAAAUAUACACCAAAAUUUCGAUAACAAAUUAAUGAAUAGUUUUGUUGUAAAGUGAAAAACGAGUUUUAACUUCUAAUUUGUUGCGUUAACGCCUUUUUCUACUACGUCAAAACAAAGUUACUUGGUGCGCUUGUAUAUGUGUUGUAUGCGUGGGUGUACCAACCAGCGGCCGUAUAGAGUGUUGUAAAAAAAUAUUGUGCGGAAAAUAAAAUCUAAUACCUUCGUGCAUAUGUAUGCAUGUAUGUAUGUAUGUAGUUUUAAUAGAACCAGUUUGAUAAAGUGUCUAUUUGCACAAAGCUUAGAGGUGUCAGCAGCGCCACUGCAUUGACUCUUUUUUAGUGUUUAAAAUAUUUGUGGUUUAGUAAAAGAAUAUAUAACAACAAAAACUAUUUGUGGCGCGCGUUUUUUCGACUGAUUCACUUAAUCAUCGCCCACACGUCACAUACAAAUUACUGGCACAUAAACCCGGUGUUAACAUAUUUUGUGGAUUAUACUUUGUGUUGAUUCAACGCCGCCUGUGGUUAUGUACAUAUGUAUGUUUGUUUUAGGUGGGCACAAGAAUAUGUGUUCCUGAGAAAAAGGUAAACGUGGUUUUAACUAGCAACUUGAAUAAUUAGUGGACUUAUAUCUAAAAACUUGUUAUCAACGAUUUAUGUGGCUGAAGCAAAGGAUCAAUGUGAAAAAGAGUGCCUAAUUUAACUGAGGGUAUUUUAACGGCAGCACUUUCAAAUGAUUUGGUAAUAUUUUAGGAAGCUAAUUGAGGCAAUAAGGGAUAACCGCUGUGUGCAUGGAUGGCGUCUAGAGUCGUCCCACGAUCAAAUCGCAUAUUCAAAUCUUGAACCCACUUUUAAAACUUCAAAGUGACAGGGUUAAUUGAUUGAUAAUUCCGUUGAAGUUACCAUAAAGACAACAGCAAGAAACACUUCCACUUCUCCCUUGUUUGCGUAAAUACAACUGUCAAACGGUGGCAAAAAAAAACUGUCAAAUUAUUGAUGUGUCAUUGUAGUCGUCCGCCUGCCAACAACAGCUAAAAAAAAAAACUGAAACGAGAGCAAAGCACAAGUGAUAGCUGUCGUUUAUUGAGGAGCAACACAAAAAGAAAACGAACGAAGCAAGUAACGAAAAUAUAAAAGCUAUAAGAGGAAGACAGAGUAAAAAAAAAAGAGAGAGAGGGAAAGGGCGAGGAAAAAAGGCAAGCAGUCUCUACUCUAAACACAUGACAAGCUAAAUAACAGAGUUGAUAUUUGGCAAAAUAUAAAAAAAUGAAAAAAAGUUAAAAAAACUAGAGUAGUUUGCAGAAAAUAUAGAAAAAGAAAGCAUGCACCGCAUGAGUACGAAAAAAAUGAGCUUUAAUAUGAGCAAGCAAGAGAAAGAAAGCUGAGAAAGCUUAAAUUAAGAAAAAAAUAAAGUGUAAUCUACUAAUAAGUAGAGAAAAUAUCGAAAAGAACAAUUAACAGAGUGUGGAAAAUAUCUUUAAAAAAUAAAGAAAGAAAAUAAAAAGCUCUUAAACGAAGAGAAACAAGUUUUCAAAGGCGCUUUGAUUGAUAUAUUUUAAAAAACUAAAGAAAGCAAGCGCUUCAACCACACAAAAUAGCGCAUUGGAUUUAUAAAGAGACUCGAAAUAGAGCUUACAACCGACAAAAAGCUUACACGCGAGCUUACAACCCCAAAGUUGCAGUUUAAAGCUCACAGUGAGUCUAUAAAAAAAAAGGAGAAAGAAAAAAUAACAAAUCUUAAACAGCUAGCGAUCACUGCAACGAAUAAGUUCAAAGAGUAAGACGAGAAAACACAAAGGUUGCACAAGAUUAAGAAAGCUUAACAAAGAAAAAAAAACAAUUUUACGAAAAAAAGUUCCAGAUCAAAACAUUAAAAUAAAAAAUUCAAAAAAAAAAAGAAAACCGACUACUAACCAGCAGCGAGUAAGUCUAGUUAUAUAACGGUAACCUAACGGUGAUUCAGGCAAAAGCUCAUUACGAAUUUUGAAAAAAUCAUUAAAAGCACAACUCAAAAAAAACAACAAAGUACACCUGUCAUUAAAAAUCAUAAU
Ceratitis capitata (Mediterranean fruit fly) is the source of this 2865-nucleotide long non-coding RNA. RefSeq lists it as uncharacterized. Lineage: Eukaryota; Metazoa; Arthropoda; Insecta; Diptera; Tephritidae. The record is from RefSeq and is a predicted model, not a curated record. The transcript has 7 exons.